Molecule: transfer RNA, 90 nt
Filed under: Desulfofundulus luciae
Lineage: Bacteria; Bacillati; Bacillota; Clostridia; Eubacteriales; Peptococcaceae
Also listed under: 4 other names
Description: tRNA-Leu
Rfam family: tRNA
About the family: Transfer RNA (tRNA) molecules are approximately 80 nucleotides in length. Their secondary structure includes four short double-helical elements and three loops (D, anti-codon, and T loops).
Source: RNAcentral
GCCGGAGUGGCGGAACAGGCAGACGCACGGGACUUAAAAUCCCGGGGGUGUUAUGCACCCGUACCGGUUCAAGUCCGGUCUCCGGCACCA